Molecule: ribosomal RNA, 393 nt
Filed under: uncultured bacterium
Lineage: Bacteria
Description: partial 16S ribosomal RNA
Rfam family: Bacterial small subunit ribosomal RNA
Source: RNAcentral
AUACGGAAGGUCCGGGCGUUAUCCGGAUUUAUUGGGUUUAAAGGGAGCGCAGGCGGAGAUGCAAGCGUGACGUCAAAUUUCGGGGCUCAACCCCGUCUCGCGCCGCGAACUGCGUCCCUUGGUUGCGGGAAGGGGAGGCGGAACUCGUGGUGUAGCGGUGAAAUGCAUAGAUAUCACGAAGAACUCCGAUCGCGAAGGCAGCCUUCCGGCCCGUCAACGACGCUCAUGCUCGAAGGUGCGGGUAUCAAACAGGAUUAGAUACCCUGGUAGUCCGCACAGUAAACGAUGGACACCCGCGGUUUGGCCUAUAUGGCUGAGCCGCCAAGCGAAAGCGUUAAGUGUCCCACCUGGGGAGUACGCCGGCAACGGUGAAACUCAAAUGAAUUGACGGGG